AACGAACGCUGGCGGCAUGCCUAACACAUGCAAGUCGAACGAGACCUUCGGGUCUAGUGGCGCACGGGUGCGUAACGCGUGGGAACCUGCCCUUAGGUUCGGAAUAACUCCCCGAAAGGGGUGCUAAUACCGGAUAAUGUCUUCGGACCAAAGAUUUAUCGCCUUUGGAUGGGCCCGCGUUGGUUUAGCUAGUUGGUAGGGUAAAAGCCUACCAAGGCGACGAUCCAUAGCUGGUCUGAGAGGAUGAUCAGCCACACUGGGACUGAGACACGGCCCAGACUCCUACGGGAGGCAGCAGUGGGGAAUAUUGGACAAUGGGCGAAAGCCUGAACCAGCAAUGCCGCGUGAGUGAUGAAGGCCUGAGGGUAGUAAAGCUCUUUUACCCGGGAUGAUAAUGACAGUACCGGGAGAAUAAGCACCGGCUAACUCCGUG
RNAcentral lists this ribosomal RNA (433 nucleotides) under uncultured bacterium. Its description in RNAcentral is "partial 16S ribosomal RNA". It matches the Rfam family "Bacterial small subunit ribosomal RNA", at positions 29 to 507 of the family's 1533-position model. The record is from RNAcentral.